UCGGUGCGGCUGGGCCCCAGGAGGGAGCCGCGCGCCGGAGCAUCUUCUGGCCUCGGUGGGAGGCAGCCCUUCCCCCGCGCCCUGCUCCGCUGGGCCCCAGUCUGCACCGCUGUGUGCCCUCACCUGUGUCCGCACCGACCGGAUUGCGCCGCUGCCCCUUUGCACAGGGUGUCUCCCCGCUCCGCCAGCGCCCUGCGACCUCAGCUCGUGUCGCAGCCUGAGCCGCGGCCCCCCUCUCCUGGCCUCCACAAAUCAUUGUCCAGCCUGGAACCUCUCUCUCCGUAGGAUUUAUCUUCCAAAUUAUAUAAUUUAAUUUUUUAAUCGUAUCCAUCGUGUGCCUCUCGUCCUGCCUUAAGCUCCACUAGGGGAAGGAUCUCUUGUUUUGUUCGCCGCAACCCCGGAUGCUACAACAGGGACCGGCACACAGAAGGAGAGACUUAGUUAUAUUUUGAGAAUAAGCCAGAAGAGCUAGCAAGAUUCAAGAAAUAAGGGAGAGUAUGUGUGAGUUAGCAAAGCCUGGACCUAGAGGAAAAGGAAAAGUCUGUGGAACUUAAAUUGGAAGAUCAGAGAGAGGGAAGAGGAUAUAUGGACAUAACAUUGAAUUCCGAGACAAAAUAACUGGUGUAGCAGCCACGGGGACCGUGUGGCUCAGAUCUCCCUUGGCGAAAGAAUCUGCCAUUCAACUACUGGUGUGCAGGCAGCUGUCAGCCUCCAGUUACAUCACCUUUGGGAUCCAUUACAGUGUCAGAGUCAGAAACAGGACUGUUUGGACGUCCUGCAGAACAUCCCUUUCAUCUGUUGAUGUCAUCAUGCUGAUCAGUCGGGAUGAGGAGUAGUUUGCAUACUCUAAGCCUCAGAAGACCCAUCUGCUCCAGAGGAGUGUGGAAGAUAAUCACAACAAAGAUUCGGGGGCCUACCACGUCAAAACCACAGUGAAGUUUUCAGGAAUCCAGUGUUCAAGGGAUGUGCCAGGACAUCUCCAAAGUAAAAGACAAAUUGUUGCAUCUUGUAUCUCUUACAACAAAGAAGGAAUCACAGCACUUCAGAGGCUUCCUCAUAUUGUGAAGGCAACACAUUCUAUUCUAGAAACACUGCUCUGGCCCAUACACCAGGUGCCACACAAGAUGGCCAGUUCUGAGUGGGGCCUGGGGCAGGAAAGGAGUAGCCCCACUGUCUUAGUUCAUGCUGCAAAAACAAAAUACCACCAUCUGGAUGGCUUAUAAACAAUAAACAUUUAUUUCUCACAGUUCUAGAGACUAGGAAGUCUAGGAUCGUGGUGCCAGUAAGUUUGGGGUUUGGUAACUGCUUCCUGGCACAUAGAUGGCUGUCUUUUCACUGUGUUCUCCCAUGGCAGAAGGAGGAGUGGGCUUUACUUGGUCCUCUUCUUGUAAGGACACUGAUCCCAUUCCCAAAGGCUCCGCCCUCAUGACCUAAUUACCUCCCAAAGGCCCCACUUCUAACACCAUUAUGUUGGGUAGUAAGAUUUCAGCGUAUGAGUUUUGGAGGGAUGCAAACAUUCAGACCAUAGACCCACUUACCAUCACUCUCAGUGACCUAUUGGGGGACUUUGUGUUUCCUGUUCCUGCAGCUCUGAGCUCUGCAGGAUUAGAACUUCUAAUUCACAAAGGGGCAUACUCUUUCCAGAAGGAUCCCAUUAAAUUACAAACCAUGGCUGCCACCUAGGCACCCUGGACUCCUUAUAUAUGUACAGGGAGCAUAGGGUAGGGCAAGAAACUACUGUGUUAUCAGGGGUAAUUGACCCUAAUCAGGGAAGAGAUAGGACUGCUCUUACAAAGCUGGGACAGGACAGGGGCACCUGGGUGGUUCAGAAGGUCGAGCGUCCAACUUUGUUUGGCUCAGGUCAUGAUCUCGCAGUUC
Long non-coding RNA from Leopardus geoffroyi (Geoffroy's cat), 1878 nucleotides. RefSeq lists it as uncharacterized. The record is from RefSeq and is a predicted model, not a curated record. The transcript has 4 exons. Lineage: Eukaryota; Metazoa; Chordata; Mammalia; Carnivora; Felidae.